GUCACAGUAGCGCAAUGGAUAGCGCGUUGAACUUUUAAUCCGAAGGUCGUGGCCUAGAAUCCCACCUGGGAUGGACU
This 77-nucleotide transfer RNA is filed under the name Trichonephila inaurata madagascariensis. RNAcentral's name for it is "tRNA-Lys". It matches the Rfam family "tRNA". From Rfam's summary of the family: Transfer RNA (tRNA) molecules are approximately 80 nucleotides in length. Their secondary structure includes four short double-helical elements and three loops (D, anti-codon, and T loops). Lineage: Eukaryota; Metazoa; Arthropoda; Arachnida; Araneae; Nephilidae. The record is from RNAcentral.